RNAcentral lists this ribosomal RNA (564 nucleotides) under uncultured Glomeromycotina. RNAcentral describes it as "SSU rRNA". It matches the Rfam family "Eukaryotic small subunit ribosomal RNA", at positions 548 to 1114 of the family's 1831-position model. Lineage: Eukaryota; Fungi; Glomeromycota. The record is from RNAcentral.
UUGGAGGGCAAGUCUGGUGCCAGCAGCCGCGGCAAUUCCAGCUCCAAUAGCGUAUAUUAAAGUUGUUGCAGUUAAAAAGCUCGUAGUUGAAUUUCGGGAUCAGAUUGUCGGUCGUGCCUCGGUACGCACUGGUAUUAUUGGUUCCUACCUUCUGAAGAACCGCGAUGUCAUUAAUUUGGUGUCGUGGGGAAUCAGGACUGUUACUUUGAAAAAAUUAGAGUGUUUAAAGCAGGCUUACGCUCGAAUACAUUAGCAUGGAAUAAUGAAAUAGGACGUUUGAUUCUAUUUUGUUGGUUUCUAGGAUUGACGUAAUGAUUAAUAGGGAUAGUUGGGGGCAUUAGUAUUCAAUUGUCAGAGGUGAAAUUCUUGGAUUUAUUGAAGACUAACUACUGCGAAAGCAUUUGCCAAGGAUGUUUUCAUUAAUCAAGAACGAAAGUUAGGGGAUCGAAGACGAUCAGAUACCGUCGUAGUCUUAACCAUAAACUAUGCCGACUAGGGAUCGGAUGAUGUUAAUUUUUUAAUGACUCAUUCGGCGCCUUACGGGAAACCAAAGUGUUUGGGUUC